Acanthaster planci (crown-of-thorns starfish) is the source of this 186-nucleotide long non-coding RNA. The record is from RefSeq and is a predicted model, not a curated record. NCBI's taxonomy places the organism in Eukaryota, Metazoa, Echinodermata, Asteroidea, Valvatida, Acanthasteridae.
UUUCAAUACAGUCAUCGUGUAUGGUGCAUGGUGAUGCCGGACUUGCAGACGCUUUUUUAAUGAUUUUUACCACCGACGGGCUUAAAUUGUUGUUGACAAGAACCCCUUCAAGAAGUUCAUGGGUGUGUGCAACCAACAAGACACCGAUCUUCGCAGCUGCUUAAACAAAGAGUAUCAUCAGAGACU